UACCAGCGCAAAGCAGCCACCACAAACAAUUGAGCAGACAACCACACUGCUCACUAAGAAGAAGACAUCACAAUCAGUUCAGCUAUUAUUUCUUGCCAUGAAAUUGCAGGUGGGAGAGAAGAAGUAUAGUAUUCUAUAACACAUUCAGUGUCUCUCAUAUAACAGCUUCAAUUUCAUCAGAGUUCACUGCCACUCCAUUUGGGGCAUCUUCUGAUCGAAGUUGAGCAGAAACACCAUCAAUAGCAGAGUUCAGU
This 254-nucleotide unclassified non-coding RNA is filed under the name Hevea brasiliensis (rubber tree). Lineage: Eukaryota; Viridiplantae; Streptophyta; Magnoliopsida; Malpighiales; Euphorbiaceae. The record is from RNAcentral.